Molecule: long non-coding RNA, 1145 nt
Organism: Lontra canadensis (Northern American river otter)
Lineage: Eukaryota; Metazoa; Chordata; Mammalia; Carnivora; Mustelidae
Exons: 3
Source: RefSeq, a predicted model, not a curated record
CUCCGCUGGCGGCUGCGUCUCCGAAAGUUGUGCUGAAAACCCAGAGGCCGUGACAUGAUUAAUCGUUUUCUUCUGAUCUAAUUUUGGAACAUGAAAAACAGCACAUUUGUCUUGAAGAAAAAUGAUGUGCCGAACUGCGCAGAUGGAAAUUUCGAGCAAUGAGAAAGAUUAAAGUGAAACCCCACUCCUUAGACCUAAUCAUGAGUUGUAGAUUAUUCUGUCGGCCCAGCCAGAUGGUAGCUCUGAUUCCACAGCCCCUUCUUAUAUUAAUGAAUACUAGACUGUUAUAUUUGACUUAGGAGUCAGUUCAGAUGUCUUGGCUGUGAAGAGAUGACCCUUUUCCAUCUACUCCCAGCUUACUUCUCCAGCCUCAUCUCUCACCUCUCCUUCACUAUGAACCCUGCACUUCUGCCACAGGAGCCUUCUCCAGGCUCUGAAGAAUGCUAGGCUCUUUCACAACAAUGUAUUUGUGUCUGUGUUUGUUUGUCCCACUCCCUUCCAUUCUUUAUCUGGCAAACUCCUAUUCAUCCUUCAAGACCCAACACCCAUGUGUCCUCCUCUGCCCCUUUCCUCACAUUCCUCUGGGCAUUAUUUAAUACUCUGGUCUUCCAUCACAUUUUGUCCACAUCCCUGUGGAAAUAUGGGCUGGGUUGCAUUGAAAAAUGCAUGUUUUUGUAAACACACUUCUACAUUUCCUUUCCUUUCCAACUAGUUGUGCAUUCAUCCGUUUGUUCAUGCAUCUGAGUAGUGCGUCUUGAGAACCUACUGUAUUGCCAGGUGUUGUUUCAGGCCCUAGGGAUUCAGCCCGGUACAAAAUUCUCAGCCCUCUCAGAGGUGCCAUUUUGGUAUUAUCUGUGUGGGUCUGUUAGUGAGGCUUCUUCUCAGGAAGAAAUAGAAAUUCAUUUAGGCCAGCUCUCAUAGUGGGGGUUAUUGUAAAAUAGUGGCAAUAAAGGAGCGAAAAUCUCAUGGGGACCCAAGACAACUGGAUGGCUUCUGAACAACCUCUCAGCUUCUAUAACUCAUUAUUGGGUCACUCAUGGCCCCUCUCAGGCCUUACUGCCGUUUUAAAAACUUUGUAUUGUGGUAUACACGCAGAAAACUGCACAUAAGGGGCACCUGGGUGGCUCAGUCCCUAAGUGUCUGAA